GACGAACGCUGGCGGCGUGCUUAACACAUGCAAGUCGAACGGGAUAAUUUGAGAGCUUGCUCUUAGAGAAUCUAGUGGCAAACGGGUGAGUAACACGUAGACAACCUGCCGACAGGAUGGGGACAACAUUCCGAAAGGAAUGCUAAUACCGAAUGAAGCGGAGGAGAGGCAUCUCUCCUCCGUGAAAGAUGGCCUCUGAAUAUGCUAUCACCUGUCGAUGGGUCUGCGUCUGAUUAGCUAGUUGGUGAGGUAACGGCUCACCAAGGCGACGAGCAGUAGCCGGUCGGAGAGGAUGAACGGCCACAUUGGGACUGAGACACGGCCCAGACGCCUACGGGAGGCAGCAGUGGGGAAUCUUCCGCAAUGGGCGCAAGCCUGACGGAGCAACGCCGCGGGAGUGAAGAAGGUCGUCGGAUCGGAAAGCUCGGUUGACGGGGACGAACGUGCGAAGGGUGAAUAAUCCUUUGUAAUGACGGUACCUGUCGAGGAAGCCACGGCUAACUACGUG
This 508-nucleotide ribosomal RNA is filed under the name uncultured bacterium. Its description in RNAcentral is "partial 16S ribosomal RNA". It matches the Rfam family "Bacterial small subunit ribosomal RNA", at positions 28 to 507 of the family's 1533-position model. The record is from RNAcentral.